RNAcentral lists this non-coding RNA (24 nucleotides) under Gallus gallus (chicken). The record is from miRBase by way of RNAcentral. Lineage: Eukaryota; Metazoa; Chordata; Aves; Galliformes; Phasianidae.
CUGGGAUUGUUCAGGAGAGGAGGC